Salvia splendens (bonfire salvia) is the source of this 995-nucleotide long non-coding RNA. RefSeq lists it as uncharacterized. NCBI's taxonomy places the organism in Eukaryota, Viridiplantae, Streptophyta, Magnoliopsida, Lamiales, Lamiaceae. The transcript is spliced from 2 exons. The record is from RefSeq and is a predicted model, not a curated record.
UCCACUCUCACAAUUUCUUCAGCCCCUCAGGGGGCUUUUCCUCUCUCUCUCUCUCUCCCAUUGUCUUCCUGUUUUAGUUUCUCGAUCUUCCUCUACUCCACACAUAUUACAUAUACUCUUCCUACUGGUCCAAUUAUGGAAUCAGCCACCCCAAAGAAGCGAACCGCUAGCCUUCCGCCGAGGAGAGGCCUGAUCAAGGCUCAAAUUUUUGAGAGCCUUGCCGGAAACCUCUCCUCCGCCGCCGCAAAAGCCCUCACCAAAAUCAAACAGACCACUACCGCCUCCUCCACGUCAUCCUCCCCGCCGCCGAGCGCCUACACCUCCGACGGCGGCUACUCCGACCAGGCCUGACUGAUCUCCGGUGAAAUAGGCUUGUUUUUUCGCUGAUUUUCACCGGAUCGAGCUUAAAUAUCUGGUGUUGUUGGAGAUGAGAUCAGAAGUCCUGUGCCUUUUAACCAUGGCUUCUGACGAUUAAUACUCCGUGUGCGUGUGUGUGUUUAUAGAUAGGUUUAAAGUUGUGGUCCUCUUCCAGUAUUGUUUCUCAAGUUUUAGAUUGGAGAUGGUAUGUUGGCAAUAAGAGGAACUUUUUUCUGUAUAAACUCGAGUCCAGCAAGAACAGGAGAGGAAGAGGUGGGUUUGAUUGUUGCCGAUUAGUUAUUAGUCUAGUUUGAUUGUUGUUUGUGUUUUUGAGCAUAUAAUAAGCUCCUUCAUGGGUUUUUCUUCAUUUGGUUCUUUUCCCAUGUCGUAUCUGUUGAACCAAAUACUGGCUCUCGUUUCUUAUAAACGGAGCCUUCUUUCAAUACACAUUUCGUCUUUCUCUUUCUAAUUCUCUGUUUAAUUUUCUGUUUGCUUCGAUCCGCUUUUUUUUUUCUUUCGAGUUUUACCUUUUUCUUUCCUUGCAGUAAGACAGUAAAAUCCAAGGGAGAUCCAUCAUUGUUUUGUUUGUACAUUUGAAUCCCAUCUUAUGUGAUCAAGAAAUUUCUUUAUCUGGAUAA